GGACAGGUGUCCGAGUGGCUUAAGGAGCACGCUUGGAAAGCGUGUGUACGUUUUUGCGUACCGUGGGUUCGAAUCCCACCCUGUCCG
RNAcentral lists this transfer RNA (87 nucleotides) under Phycisphaerae bacterium. RNAcentral describes it as "tRNA-Ser". It matches the Rfam family "tRNA". Rfam says of the family: Transfer RNA (tRNA) molecules are approximately 80 nucleotides in length. The record is from RNAcentral. RNAcentral also lists the same sequence under 1 other name. Lineage: Bacteria; Pseudomonadati; Planctomycetota; Phycisphaerae.